Molecule: long non-coding RNA, 3364 nt
Organism: Oncorhynchus kisutch (coho salmon)
Lineage: Eukaryota; Metazoa; Chordata; Actinopteri; Salmoniformes; Salmonidae
Exons: 3
Source: RefSeq, a predicted model, not a curated record
CACACACGCUAUCCUCUCACACGUGUCACCACAGAGACCUCCGGAGUGGGGGUGCCUGCCCUCUGUCUGUCCAUACAUUAUACAUUUCCUCAGCAUUCUCUCUGCAGAGACUUGGCCAGCUGUGCUUUAUGUGCUGAGAGGAGUGGCUCCUUCCAACCCUGGUGGCUUUGAACAAAUGCUUUACGGCUCCUAUAAAACACAUUCAGAGCGUACAGUUCAUCACUAAAAAAGUCCAUAUGAGCAGGGGCCUUUACUAUACAAUCACCUGGAUGUGUUGCAGGGAUCUACGAAGAUUGUCCCAGGGUGGUGGUGCAGCGGGGCUGCCGCUGUGUGUGUGUGCACCGGUGGCCUCCCUGGUCUUUGAUGUGGGAGUGGGCACAUUUGAAGUGCACAUAAGCACACAGCCAAGACAAAGCAGGAGUGGCUUCGGGAGAAGUCUCUGAAUGUCCUUGAGUGAACCAGCCAGACCCCAGACUUGAACCCGAUCGAUCGAACAUCUCUGGAGAUACCUGAAAAUAGAUGUUCAGCGACACUCCCCAUCCAACCUGACAGAGCUUGAGAGGAUCUGCAGCGAAUGGGAGAAACUCCCCAAAUACAGAUCUAUCCGCUGCCUUCGACACUGUGAACCAUCGGAUCCUCCACCGUCACAGAGCUGGGCAUCUCAGGCUUUGCACAAUGUUGGAUUGCAUCCUACCGGACAGGCCAGGUGACGUGGAAAGGAUCUGUGUCUGCACCACGUGCUCUCACCACUGCCUUGGCAGGUCCCUAAUAACAUUCAAAUACAAAUCCUCUGGUGUCCUUGAAAUUUUCCGAAUUGACUGACCAUGUCUAAAAGUAAUGAUGGACUGUCAUUUCUCUCUGCUUAUUUGAGCUGUUCUUGCCAUAAUAUGGACUUGAUCUUUUACCAAAUAGGGCUAUCUUCUGUAGACCACCCCUACCUUGUCACAACACAACUGAUUGGCUCAAAUGCAUUAAGAAGGAAAGAAAUUCCACAAAUGAACUUUUAACAAGGUACACCUAUUAAUUGAAAUGCAUUCCAGGUGACUACCUCAUGAAGCUGGUUGAGAGAAUGCCAAGAGUGUGCAAAGCUGUCACCAAGGCAAAGGGUGACUACUUUGAAGAAUCUCAAAUCUAAAAUAUACUUUUUUAGUUACUACAUGAUUCCAUGUGUUAUUUCAUAGUUUUGAUGUAUUCACUAUUAUUCUACAAUGUAGAAAAUAGUAAAAAAUAUAAAAAACUUGAAUGAGUAGGUCUCCCCAAACUUUUGACUGGUACUGUACUUAAGUAUAAAAAGUAAACGUAAUUGUAAAAAUAUACUUAAUUACAAAAAGUAAAAGUAUAAAUCAUUUCACAUUCCAUAUAUUAAGCAAACCAGAUGGCACUGUUUUCUUGUUAUUUAAAUGUAUGGAUAGCCAGGGGCACACCCCAACACUCAGACAUAAUUUACAAACAAAGCAUUUGUGUUUAGUGAGUCCGUCAGAUCAGAGGCAGUAGGGAUGUUAUCUUGAUUAGCGCAUGACCAUUUUCCUGCCAUGCUAACCAUUCGAAAUGUUUCAAGUACUUUUGGGUGUCAGGGAAACGUAUGAAGUAAAAAGUACAUUCUUGUCUUUAGGAAUGUACUGGAGUAAAAGUAAAAGUUGUCAAAAAUAUAAAUAGUAAAGUAAAAGUACAGAUACCCCAAAAAACUACUUAAGUAGUGCUUGAAAGUAUUUUUUACUGAAGUACUUUACACUACUGCCAUUCUGCCACCUCUGGUUUCUCCCCCUACGGGAGGUCAGCUCAGCCCAGUCAAAUCUAUUUUUCCAUCCUUGCACCUCAAAUGGUGGAACCAGCUUCCCCCGAAGCUAGGACAGCAGAGUCCCUGCCCCCUUCCGAAAACAUCUAAAAAGCCUACCUCUUCAAAGAGAAUCUUAAAUCAUCUUAAAUAAUCCCACAACCCAUGAAAAAUGAUUAAAAUAACACCCUUGCUUUUCCUGACCUAACACUUGCACUUGAUAAUCUGAGAAGAUCCUUGUAUGUCCCUCUCACUGUAAUAAGGAUGGUUUGUCCACCAACACCAACUCUAUAAUAAAGGAUAGUCAACCGGCAAGACAAAAUGAGGAAGGCUAACAUACAACAGCACGAUGAGAUGGGAACACUGCAAAUACACUGACCACAACCACAGGCCUGUUAACACAGAAGCCUAGGUGUCAAGUGAUGUACACGCUUUCCUUGACAGGAAUGAUAAAGUGUGACAACAGUUAAGAAAUAAGAUGGUAAAAUAGGAAGUACAAAGUGCCACAUCUCAGCUGCUCUGCACACACUGUUACUGUAAACAUUAUUGAGUGCCAUGCUUCCAAGCGUAAUUUACAAAGCAUAGCUGAAUGUGAUAUGCAAAGCAUAAACUGUGCCUCACAAACCAAGGACUCAAUGAAAAAAGCUAAGUCCUGGCACUCUUACUGGCAAGUGUUUAUUCACAAAAUCAUCAGCAUCUGUUUAUUUUUAAAACGGGGGUGGUAGGAGAUUUAUUUCACGUUAGUAUUGUUUUAAAUGGACAUUGUUGCGAGUGAACACAAAGGUUUGAAUGGGUCAGAACACUACUCCCAGCCAUUCUCCAUUGUUCCCAGCCAGGACCUUGCCUUUGGCUGCUUCCCUAGGGGGGCUCGGCCCCAGCACCACAGCAGCGCAUUGAAAAGUUAUUCAUAGAGCCAGCACUCCGCGCGUGAGGCGAGCUCUAACUGCACCGUUCCCCCAAUUUAUGAUCUCUUAGCCCUUUAAAGGUUGAUUUAAUAUUUGCCUGAGAGGUUUUGGACGGCAUCCCAUUAGUUAGAAGGGGAAAAAAGAAAAAGGAGGUUGUUUUGCUAACCUUUAAUGCACUUGUACAUGAACUGUGUCCAACAAUAAGUAAAAUAUUUAUUGGGCAGGGUGAGUCAUUGGCGUGCUUACUGAGAGGGGAAGAGAGGAGAGGUCAGCGGCUCAGCGCCCAGCACUCUGUGUCUGUCAGCGGUCAGAAAGCCCCCACACAGGAGUGACCGGCCCCGUCAUUAGCCCCGUUUCCUAAUGGAUCCCAUCUGAGAACUAAUUUGUUGGAAUGACGAAUGGCGUAGACAAUAUAUUUUAGGAAGGGGGCUAAAUGACUUUUCCAACUGCAGCACGCAUCUAGAUUAGGGUCAGAUUAGAGACACUCUACAAAGAGAAUGAGGUAGUGUGUUGGCCAGACAGAGGUGUCUGGAUGAAGUAGCCUACUUGGGGUUUUACCAUUAGAACGGGUCAGAAUAUCUCAUUCAUGCAUUAUUUCUCUCUGACUGUUUGGUGUCCUUCUGUUUGUGUAUUUUGCAUUAUUAAAAGAUACAAUCUCAGACAAAGCUCUCAGAUAGCCAUGCCA